GACGAACGCUGGCGGCGUGCCUAAUACAUGCAAGUUGAGCGCUGAAGGUUGGUGCUUGUACCAACUGGAUGAGCAGCGAACGGGUGAGUAACGCGUGGGGAAUCUGCCUUUGAGCGGGGGACAACAUUUGGAAACGAAUGCUAAUACCGCAUAAAAACUUUAAACACAAGGUUUAAGUUUGAAAGAUGCAAUUGCAUCACUCAAAGAUGAUCCCGCGUUGUAUUAGCUAGUUGGUGAGGUAAAGGCUCACCAAGGCGAUGAUACAUAGCCGACCUGAGAGGGUGAUCGGCCACAUUGGGACUUAGACACGGCCCAAACUCCCACGGGAGGACGCAGUAGGGAAUCUUCGGCAAUGGACGAAAGUCUGACCGAGCAACGCCGCGUGAGUGAAGAAGGGUGUCGGAUCGGAAAACUUUGUUGGUAGAGAAGAACGUUGGUGAGAGUGGAAAGCUCAUCAAGUGACGGUAACUACCCAGAAAGCGACGGCUAACUACGUG
This 497-nucleotide ribosomal RNA is filed under the name uncultured bacterium. RNAcentral describes it as "partial 16S ribosomal RNA". It matches the Rfam family "Bacterial small subunit ribosomal RNA", at positions 28 to 507 of the family's 1533-position model. The record is from RNAcentral.